RNAcentral lists this unclassified non-coding RNA (406 nucleotides) under plant metagenome. RNAcentral describes it as "partial contains 5.8S ribosomal RNA, internal transcribed spacer 2, and large subunit ribosomal RNA". The record is from RNAcentral.
CUGACGCGUCCUCGCGGCGUGACAAGCGCCUACUGGGCAACGGCAUGCCCUGGGGGGGUGCCGCACGCGACAUCGGUGCUUGGCCGCCACUGGUGUCCGACGCUGAGGGUCCGUCUAACGCCACAGGAGCGGGCUUAGGCUGGGAUACCAGAAGUCAGCCGUUCUCGAAACACUCUUCUAGAUUGCAUCUGCGUUCUCUGUUGUGUCUGUGCUCGCUUUCACAAUUACAGAACGCGAUGUCCAAGGAAUGCGGCUGGCGCUUUUGCCCGGUAUUUUUGAUAAGGUUCCCUGCCAUUUGGGACUUUGCGAUCCUUUCACAACAAGCGUAGUAUCCCGGCCCUGAGCGGAGUUCAGAUAAAUCCCGCUCCCACGAAUCCGAGAUUUUACAGAAUCUCUUAUGAAAGGC